AGAAUGAACGUUGGCGGCGUGGAUUAGGCAUGCAAGUCGUACGGGCCGCAAGGCCAGUGGCGCAAGGGUGAGUAAGGCGACGGUAACCAACCCCAAGAUUGGGUAUAGCCGCGGGAAACUGCGGGUAAUCCCCAGCGACGUCCGGGAGGGGCAUCCUUCCUUGACCAAAGCUCCGGCGUCGUGGGACGGGCUGUCGUGGUAUUAGCUUGUUGGCGGGGUAAUGGCCCACCAAGGCUCUGAUGCCUACCGGGCGUGCGAGCGUGGCCCGGCACACUGGGACUGAGACACGGCCCAGACUCCUACGGGAGGCAGCAGUGGGGAAUCUUGCGCAAUGGGCGAAAGCCUGACGCAGCAACGCCGCGUGAGGGACGAAGGCCUUCGUGGGGUUGUAAAACCUCUUUCAGCAGGGACGAUGAUGACGGUACUGCAGAAGAGCCCCGGCAACUACGUGCCAGCAGCCGC
Molecule: ribosomal RNA, 462 nt
Filed under: uncultured bacterium
Lineage: Bacteria
Description: SSU rRNA
Rfam family: Bacterial small subunit ribosomal RNA
Source: RNAcentral